GAUGAACGCUGGCGGCGUGCCUAACACAUGCAAGUCGAGCGAAGCACUUUGCUUGGAUUCUUCGGAUGAAGAGGAUUGUGACUGAGCGGCGGACGGGUGAGUAACGCGUGGGUAACCUGCCUCAUACAGGGGGAUAACAGUUAGAAAUGACUGCUAAUACCGCAUAAGCCCACAGAACCGCAUGGUUCUGGGGGAAAAGGAGCAAUUCGCUUUGGGAUGGACUCGCGUCCGAUUAGCUGGAUGGUGAGGUAACGGCCCACCAUGGCAACGAUCGGUAGCCGGACUGAGAGGUUGAUCGGCCACAUUGGGACUGAGACACGGCCCAG
RNAcentral lists this ribosomal RNA (326 nucleotides) under uncultured bacterium. Its description in RNAcentral is "bacterial SSU rRNA". It matches the Rfam family "Bacterial small subunit ribosomal RNA", at positions 28 to 334 of the family's 1533-position model. The record is from RNAcentral.